This 450-nucleotide ribosomal RNA is filed under the name uncultured bacterium. RNAcentral describes it as "partial 16S ribosomal RNA". It matches the Rfam family "Bacterial small subunit ribosomal RNA", at positions 354 to 796 of the family's 1533-position model. The record is from RNAcentral.
GUGGGGAAUAUUGGACAAUGGGCGAAAGCCUGAUCCAACCAUGCCGCGUGUGUGAAGAAGGUCUUCGGAUUGUAAAGCACUUUAAGUUGGGAGGAAGGGCAGUAAGUUAAUACCUUGCUGUUUUGACGUUACCAACAGAAUAAGCACCGGCUAACUUCGUGCCAGCAGCCGCGGUAAUACGGAGGGGGCUAGCGUUGUUCGGAAUUACUGGGCGUAAAGCGCACGUAGGCGGAUUGGAAAGUUGGGGGUGAAAUCCCGGGGCUCAACCCCGGAACUGCCUUCAAAACUGCAUGACUAGAGUACGGUAGAGGGUAGUGGAAUUUCCUGUGUAGCGGUGAAAUGCGUAGAUAUAGGAAGGAACACCAGUGGCGAAGGUGACUACCUGGACUGAUACUGACACUGAGGUGCGAAAGCGUGGGGAGCAAACAGGAUUAGAUACCCGGGUAGUCC